This 253-nucleotide ribosomal RNA is filed under the name uncultured bacterium. RNAcentral's name for it is "partial 16S ribosomal RNA". It matches the Rfam family "Bacterial small subunit ribosomal RNA", at positions 524 to 776 of the family's 1533-position model. The record is from RNAcentral.
GACAGAGGUUGCAAACGUUGCUCGGAAUCACUGGGCGUAAAGCGCACGUAGGCGGCUUCUUAAGUCAGGGGUGAAAUCCUGGAGCUCAACUCCAGAACUGCCUUUGAUACUGGGAAGCUUGAGUCCGGGAGAGGUGAGUGGAACUGCGAGUGUAGAGGUGAAAUUCGUAGAUAUUCGCAAGAACACCAGUGGCGAAGGCGGCUCACUGGCCCGGUACUGACGCUGAGGUGCGAAAGCGUGGGGAGCAAACAGG